CCUACGGGUGGCAGCAGUGGGGAAUAUUGGGCAAUGGGCGCAAGCCUGACCCAGCAACGCCGCGUGAAGGAAGAAGGCUUUCGGGUUGUAAACUUCUUUUCUCAGGGACGAAGAAAGUGACGGUACCUGCGGACUAAGCCACGGCUAACUACGUACCAGCAGCCGCGGUAAUACGUAGGUGGCAAGCGUUAUCCGGAUUGAUUGGGUGUAAAGGGCGUGUAGGCGGGAGGGCAAGUCAGAUGGGAAAACGCUGGGCUCAAACCUGGGACUGCAUUUGAAACUGUGGUUCUUGAGUGCUGGAGAGGCAAUCGGAAUUCGGUGUGUAGCGGUGAAAUGCGUAGAUAUUGGGAAGAACACCAGUGGCGAAGGCGGAUUGCUGGACAGUAACUGAAGCUGAGGCACGAAAGCGUGGGGAGCAAACAGGAUUAGAUACCCCAGUAGUG
RNAcentral lists this ribosomal RNA (443 nucleotides) under uncultured bacterium. RNAcentral's name for it is "partial 16S ribosomal RNA". It matches the Rfam family "Bacterial small subunit ribosomal RNA", at positions 338 to 795 of the family's 1533-position model. The record is from RNAcentral.